GAUGAACGCUGGCGGCGUGCUUAACACAUGCAAGUCGAACGGAAAGGCCCAAGCUUGCUUGGGUCCUCGAGUGGCGAACGGGUGAGUAACACGUGGGUUAUCUGCCCUGCACUUCGGGAUAAGCCUGGGAAACUGGGUCUAAUACCGGAUAGGACUAUGGUUUUGAUGCCAUUGUGGAAAGUUUUUUCGGUGUGGGAUGAGCUCGCGGCCUAUCAGCUUGUUGGUGGGGUAAUGGCCUACCAAGGCGUCGACGGGUAGCCGGCCUGAGAGGGUGUACGGCCACAUUGGGAAUGAGAUACGGGCCAGACUCCUAAGGGCGGCAGGAGUGGGGAAUAUUGAACAAUGGGCGAAAGCCUGAUGCAGGGACGCCGCGUGGGGGAUGACGGCCUUAGGGUUGUAAACUCCUUUCGCUAGGGACGAAGCGUUUUUGUGACGGUACCUGGAGAAGAAGCACCGGCUAACUACGUG
RNAcentral lists this ribosomal RNA (468 nucleotides) under uncultured bacterium. RNAcentral's name for it is "partial 16S ribosomal RNA". It matches the Rfam family "Bacterial small subunit ribosomal RNA", at positions 28 to 507 of the family's 1533-position model. The record is from RNAcentral.